RNAcentral lists this ribosomal RNA (388 nucleotides) under uncultured bacterium. RNAcentral describes it as "bacterial SSU rRNA". It matches the Rfam family "Bacterial small subunit ribosomal RNA", at positions 28 to 417 of the family's 1533-position model. The record is from RNAcentral.
GACGAACGCUGGCGGCGUGCUUAACACAUGCAAGUCGAGCGGUAAGGCCCUUUCGGGGGUACACGAGCGGCGAACGGGUGAGUAACACGUGGGUGACCUGCCUUUAGCUCUGGGAUAAGCCUGGGAAACCGGGUCUAAUACCGGAUAUGACUCCGCGGCGCAUGUUGUGGGGUGGAAAGCCUUGUGCGGCUGGAGAUGGGCCCGCGGCCUAUCAGCUUGUUGGUGGGGUGAUGGCCUACCAAGGCGACGACGGGUAGCCGGCCUGAGAGGGCGACCGGCCACACUGGGACUGAGACACGGCCCAGACUCCUACGGGAGGCAGCAGUGGGGAAUCUCGCGCAAUGGGCGAAAGCCUGACGCAGCGACGCCGCGUGAGGGAUGACGGCCU